CUGGGAGGAUGUCACAGGGCACAGACUCUGCGUGCUGUGAGAGACGGGAGCUGGCAUUGUUUACCAGCAGCGGCAGGCUUUAGGGACAGACCCCUUUGCACUCCAGUACAGAAGUCUGAGGACUGGACCUGAUCAGCAAGAGCAGGAGUCCUAUGGAAUGGCUCCCAUCAGUGUGCAGGGAGGAUGCUCUGGACCAGCAACAGCCAACAGAACCCCUGAGUGUUCAUCCUCCAG
RNAcentral lists this long non-coding RNA (234 nucleotides) under Gallus gallus (chicken). Lineage: Eukaryota; Metazoa; Chordata; Aves; Galliformes; Phasianidae. The record is from RNAcentral.